Molecule: transfer-messenger RNA, 339 nt
Filed under: Clostridia bacterium
Lineage: Bacteria; Bacillati; Bacillota; Clostridia
Rfam family: transfer-messenger RNA
About the family: Bacterial tmRNA, also known as 10Sa RNA or SsrA, is named for its dual tRNA and mRNA-like properties.
Source: RNAcentral
GGGGGUGUAAUGGUUUCGACAUUGUAGGGUGUUAUGGGUAUGCAUAUCGCGUGGUGACGUGUAAAUACACAAAACUUUUAAAUAAAUAACAACAAUAGAGUUGCUGUUGCUGCGUAAUCGCGCAACCGUCAGUUUGCUAGUACCGAUAUGGCAAAGUCUGGCGUCGGUUAUCGGUCCACGAUUUUGUGUUUUGCCUAGGGCAUAAAAUUGUAUUUUUAGGCUGGUUUUGCAAGGUGGUUGAAGCACCUCGGCAAAAUAAGACCAAUUCUUCAACUAAGUAUGUAGAGUAUGUAUAACAUUUUAUGAUGGACAUGGGUUCGACUCCCAUCACCUCCACCA